UGUAUGUGCAAAAAUUAUUUAUUUGAGGUUUUCACAGCAUGAGCAUAUAAUAUUUGAGGUUUUCAAGUGACCUCCUUUUUGAACAUGAAUGCAAAAUAAGGAAAACAAAUAUGAUUAAAAUUGUUAAGUUUGUUUAUAAAAUCAUCAUUUUUCUUUCUGUAUUUCUUGUUGCAACAAAUGCUAACGAUAUACUUAUUGAAUGUUAUCAAGAUUCUGAUUGUCUAAAACAUAUGCGAUUUCCAAAAUUUGUUCAGAGGUGUAUUCACUACCGAUGUAUAUGUAUUGGUACAGAAUGAUAGAACCAUAUGAUCCUAGAUUGAAGAGUGAAUUCUUGCAAUCACCAAUGUAUUAACUAUGGACAACUGCAGGGAUUAAUUUCUCGAGAUGUAUAUAACUAAGAUCUAUUUCAAAACCACUUAUGCAACAUGUUGGUUGUUUGUCGGUUUAUUUAGUUUGUACUAAUUUUAUGGUUA
This is a long non-coding RNA of Trifolium pratense (red clover), 473 nucleotides long. RefSeq lists it as uncharacterized. The transcript has 2 exons. Lineage: Eukaryota; Viridiplantae; Streptophyta; Magnoliopsida; Fabales; Fabaceae. The record is from RefSeq and is a predicted model, not a curated record.